This 526-nucleotide ribosomal RNA is filed under the name uncultured fungus. Its description in RNAcentral is "eukaryotic LSU rRNA". The stretch from base 175 to 328 matches the Rfam family "5.8S ribosomal RNA". The record is from RNAcentral. Lineage: Eukaryota; Fungi.
UCCGUAGGUGAACCUGCGGAAGGAUCAUUAUCGUGGGGCUUCGGCCCCGUCGAGAUAGAACCCUUGCCUUUUUGAGUACCAUUUUCGUUUCCUCGGCGGGCUCGCCCGCCGAUGGGGACACAACCAAACGCUUUGUAGUACCUGUAAUAGUCUGAGAAACAAACAAAAAAUUAAAACUUUCAACAACGGAUCUCUUGGUUCUGGCAUCGAUGAAGAACGCAGCGAAAUGCGAUAAGUAGUGUGAAUUGCAGAAUUCAGUGAAUCAUCGAAUCUUUGAACGCACAUUGCGCCCCAUGGUAUUCCGUGGGGCAUGCCUGUUCGAGCGUCAUUUGUACCCUCAAGCUUUGCUUGGUGUUGGGCGUCUUGUCUCCAGUCCGCUGGAGACUCGCCUUAAAGUCAUUGGCAGCCGGCCUACUGGUUUCGGAGCGCAGCACAAGUCGCGCUCUUUUCCAGCCAAGGUCAGCGUCCAACAAGCCUUUUUUCAACUUUUGACCUCGGAUCAGGUAGGGAUACCCGCUGAACUUAA